This is a small nucleolar RNA of Aspergillus nidulans FGSC A4, 101 nucleotides long. It matches the Rfam family "Small nucleolar RNA Z13/snr52". From Rfam's summary of the family: Z13 or snr52 is a member of the C/D class of snoRNA which contain the C (UGAUGA) and D (CUGA) box motifs. Most of the members of the box C/D family function in directing site-specific 2'-O-methylation of substrate RNAs. The record is from Rfam. Lineage: Eukaryota; Fungi; Ascomycota; Eurotiomycetes; Eurotiales; Aspergillaceae.
UAUAUUCUUGUGAUGAAAUAUUUCGGAUGUAAACUCACAGACCUGUUCUGAAUGCGCAAAACCAUGUGGAUAUUUCCGUUGCCUUCCUUCUGAUGAGAUCA